Molecule: ribosomal RNA, 1048 nt
Filed under: unidentified archaeon
Lineage: Archaea
Description: 16S ribosomal RNA
Source: RNAcentral
UGGGUCUCGCUCGUUACCUGACUUAACAGGAUGCUUCACAGUACGAACUGACGACGGCCAUGCACCACCUCUCAGCUAAUCCGGCAAAGUCUUCAGCCUGGCCUUCAUAUUGCUGUCGGUCCCGGUAAGAUUUCCGGCGUUGAAUCCAAUUAAACCGCAAGCUCCACCCGUUGUGGUGCUCCCCCGCCAAUUCCUUUAAGUUUCAGCCUUGCGGCCGUACUUCCCAGGCGGCUCGCUUCACGGCUUCCCUACGGCACCGACAACGGUCGCACCGUGGCCGACACCUAGCGAGUAUCGUUUACGGCUAGGACUACCCGGGUAUCUAAUCCGGUUCGUGCCCCCUAGCUUUCGUCCCUUGCCGUCAGGUCCGUUCUGGUGAGACGCCUUCGCCACUGGUGGUCCUUCAAGGAUUACAAGAUUUCACCCCUUACCCCUGAAGUACCUCUCACCUCUCCCGGCCUCGAGCCAGACAGUAUCUCCUGAAAGCCUGACAGUUAAGCUGCCAGAUUUCUCAAGAGACUUAUCCGGCCGGCUACAGACCCUUUAGACCCAAUAAUAACGGUUACCACUCGAGCCGCCGGUGUUACCGCGGCGGCUGGCACCGGUCUUGCCCGGCCCUUGCUAUGAAAUGCUUUUUAGGCAUCUCGACAGCCAGAUUUGUAACCUGGCACUCGAGGUUCCCUUAUCGCUGUUGCCAGCAUUGUAAAGUUUUCGCGCCUGCUGCACCCCGUAGGGCCUGGAUUCGUGUCUCAGAAUCCAUCUCCGGGCUCUUGCUCUCACAACCCGUACCCGUCGUAGGCUAGUAGGUACGCUACACCCACUACUACCUGAUAGGCCGCAGACCCAUCCUUAGGCGCCGGAGCUUUUAAUCUCGGUGCAUUCCAGCAGCCGAGACUUAUAGGGGAUUAUACCCAGUUUCCCGGGUUUAUACCCAACCUAAGGGCAGGUUGUCCACGUGUUACUGAGCAGUACGCCAUGUAUUGCUACAUUCGACUCGCAUGGCUUAGUCGGACCUCGAUAGCAGUAACCUCUGGCAGGAUCAACCGGA